CCUACGGGAGACAGCAGUGGGGAAUAUUGGGCAAUGGGCGCAAGCCUGACCCAGCAACGCCGCGUGAAGGAAGAAGGCUUUCGGGUUGUAAACUUCUUUUAAGAGGGAAGAGCAUAAGACGGUACCUCUUGAAUAAGCCACGGCUAACUACGUGCCAGCAUCCGCGGUAAUACGUAGGUGGCACGCGUUGUCCGGAAUUACUGGGUGUAAAGGGCGUGUAGCCGGGCUGACAAGUCAGAUGUGAAAUUCCGGGGCUCAACCCCGGACGUGCCUUUGAAACUGUUGGUCUUGAGUAUCGGAGAGGUAGGCGGAAUUCCUAGUGUAGCGGUGAAAUGCGUAGAUAUUAGGAGGAACACCAGUGGCGAAGGCGGCCUGCUGGACGACAACUGACGGUGAGGCGCGAAAGCGUGGGGAGCAAACAGGAUUAGAUACCCGUGUAGUC
This 442-nucleotide ribosomal RNA is filed under the name uncultured bacterium. Its description in RNAcentral is "partial 16S ribosomal RNA". It matches the Rfam family "Bacterial small subunit ribosomal RNA", at positions 338 to 795 of the family's 1533-position model. The record is from RNAcentral.